This 569-nucleotide long non-coding RNA is filed under the name Zostera marina. Its description in RNAcentral is "long non-coding RNA (ZMAR_LNC002007)". The record is from RNAcentral. Lineage: Eukaryota; Viridiplantae; Streptophyta; Magnoliopsida; Alismatales; Zosteraceae.
UUCAGGAAGAUCGCACGGUCGGAUUGGACGCGGAGAGCCACGGCCUGAUGUUUUAUUGCUCCGGCGGUAUUAUGGAAACCGAUGUCGACUGCUACGAAUCCUUGCCCGAUUGCAACUGUUGCAGGGACGAGACGAACGUUUAAGGUAUAAAUCAGUUUUCUUCUUCUUCUUCUUACUUUUAUUUUUUAUUUAAUUUUAAAUUUUGUGCGUGUGUCAGUGUGUGUGUGUGUGUUUUUUAAUAACGCGGAAGGGGGGAAAAUGAGUAUACCGAAGGUGGCAGUCUUGAAAGUUCGGACACCAUCGAUGAAAUUUUUGCAGCCGGUGAUUACGGUCUCGGCAGAUCCAUCCCCGUAGAUGGUAAUAUUCUCUUUUCUGACUAAAACAGAUUCUUUGUAGACUCCUUUCUUUAUAUAUACCACAACUCUACAGCACAAAGAAUCAAAAUCAGAAAUCCGAAUGUGAUUGAUGAUGGAUCCAUAGUUUGUUAGUUACCUUCCUUCGUGAUGUUUGGGUAUAGAAGUGAUAGCAUCAAGAAUAGUUGUGAAAUUGCCAGUGCCAUCCUGAGCCAC